GAUGAACGCUGGCGGCGUGCUUAAUACAUGCAAGUCGAGCGAACAGACGCGGAGUUUGCUCCUCUCACGUUAGCGGCGGACGGGUGAGUAACACGUGGAUACCCUCCUUAUAAUACUGGUAUAACUUCGGGACACCGGAUCUAAUCGCGUAUAACAUUGUGAACCGUAUGGUUGAGUAGUGAAAUACGGUUUUGGUGUCACUUCUAGAUGGAUCCGCGCGGUAUUAGCUAGUUGGUAAGGUAAAGGCUUACCAAGGCACCGUGGCGUAGCCGACCGGCGAGGGUGAUCGGCCACGCUAGAACGGACACACGGUCCAGACUCCUACGAGAGGCAGCAGUAGGGCAGGUGGCGCCAGGGGCGAAAGCCUGACGAAGCGAGGCAGCGUGAGGGAUCGAGGUCGUGGGAGCGUAAAACUCUGUUAUUAGGGAAGAACCAAUGUCUAAGGAACAAUCGUCGUCGUGACGGUACCUAGUCAGGAAGCAACGGCUAACUACGUG
This 497-nucleotide ribosomal RNA is filed under the name uncultured bacterium. Its description in RNAcentral is "partial 16S ribosomal RNA". It matches the Rfam family "Bacterial small subunit ribosomal RNA", at positions 28 to 507 of the family's 1533-position model. The record is from RNAcentral.